UCUGGUGGCGAUAGCGAAGAGGUCACACCCGUUCCCAUCCCGAACACGGAAGUUAAGCUCUUUAGCG
This 67-nucleotide ribosomal RNA is filed under the name Priestia megaterium. The record is from RNAcentral. Lineage: Bacteria; Bacillati; Bacillota; Bacilli; Caryophanales; Bacillaceae.